This 584-nucleotide ribosomal RNA is filed under the name Pedobacter sp. StRD648. RNAcentral's name for it is "bacterial SSU rRNA". It matches the Rfam family "Bacterial small subunit ribosomal RNA", at positions 102 to 684 of the family's 1533-position model. Lineage: Bacteria; Pseudomonadati; Bacteroidota; Sphingobacteriia; Sphingobacteriales; Sphingobacteriaceae. The record is from RNAcentral.
ACGGGUGCGUAACGCGUAUGCAACCUACCUCAAUCAGGGGGAUAGCCCGAAGAAAUUCGGAUUAACACCGCAUAAAAACACAGGAUAGCAUUAUCUAAUGUUCAAAUAUUUAUAGGAUUGAGAUGGGCAUGCGUGUCAUUAGCUAGUUGGCGGGGUAACGGCCCACCAAGGCGACGAUGACUAGGGGAUCUGAGAGGAUGACCCCCCACACUGGUACUGAGACACGGACCAAACUCAAACGGGAGGCAGCAGUAAGGAAUAUUGGUCAAUGGAGGCAACUCUGAACCAGCCAUGCCGCGUGCAGGAAGACAGCCCUCUGGGUCGUAAACUGCUUUUAUUCGGGAAUAAACCUUAUUACGUGUAAUAAGCUGAAUGUACCGAAGGAAUAAGGAUCGGCUAACUCCGUGCCAGCAGCCGCGGUAAUACGGAGGAUCCAAGCGUUAUCCGGAUUUAUUGGGUUUAAAGGGUGCGUAGGCGGCUUAUUAAGUCAGGGGUGAAAGACGGUGGCUCAACCAUCGCAGUGCCUUUGAUACUGAUGAGCUUGAAUGAACUAGAGGUAGGCGGAAUGUGACAAGUAGCGGUGA